GGCCCUCUCUGAUGAGACGGAACUUCUUUCCUCCUCUGGCUGUGAAGGCGUGUUGCCGUCACAUUGUGAGAAGGCAGCAGAGAGGGCCAUGUAGUAAGGAACUGAGGAGCUCCAAAGAAGGAAAGCCGCAGCCAAGAAAAAACUGUGACCUCAGCCUCACCACCACAGGGAGAUGAGGUUUUUCCAAGAACUGCAGAGAUCUUGGAAGAUAAUGUUUACACUGCUGAUCUUCUAGGUGAAGACGCCAUCUGACCAACACCUGGGGUUGCAACCUCCUGAGAUCCUGGGCAGAGAACCCAGAGAGACAUGUCCAGAUUCCUGAUCCAAGAAAUGUGAGAUGGCAACGCUUCCAUCCAUUGCAAGUUAUUGAUAAUGGAAAUACAGCACUGGACCCAAGCAGAAUUGAAUUUAUCUUGGUUCUCAUUUCAGGGCUUUUUGCCUGGGAAAUUGAGAGGCAUAAAGAGUGGUUGAUAAGGAUUUAAGCUUUUAAAAAAAAAAAAAAAAAAAAAAAAAACUGAGUUGCAUACAUCUAGAAUUCAUCUUCAUUAAGACUUUUGAGAAAAGAGAGCUUGAGUGGAGAGAAGCAGAAAUGGACAACCCUAGGAAGGAAACAAUCUAUGAUUGUCCUGGGUCCCAAGAAUGUCCGCGUUGCAGAGCAAAGCCCCUCCAGCUGCCUGAAAUCAACAUGUAGCACAACAAGAAAAAUGAGUUCUGGAGUUCAUUGCUUCCACAACAAAUAGCCUUGAGUCCAUUGAACAGUAUCCUAAACAGCAGACAAGAGUCUGAGUACACUCUCUUAUCAUAGUACUAGCUAGCAGAAGAAUUCAAGGAAAUCAUGGUAUCACUUUGAAUUAAGAGCCUGGCUCUUCGCUUAUAUUCUUGGCAACCUGUGGGGGAAAGGAAGGCCUACUGGUACCUGAAGCUGAAACUUUUGCAUCAGAAGAGGACUUGAUACAAUUUUAAUAUGAAAUAUCUUAGGUGUGCACUAAGAUGGCCAUCUGCUACAUAUGCUUUGUGUCUACAGAUUUCUGCAGUCCAGUGGACUAAGCCCGCUCCAUCAGCUGCAAUAAUUAGUCCUGACUUCUAAGACCAAUAUGAGCUAAUGCCCAUGUCCUGUUCCCCUGCUCCCCAAGAGGGUGAUUAGCAUUGAUUUUUGCAAAUAAAACAUUCAGUAAUAACUUCACUGAUUCAUCGAUGUGCUAGGCAAUCUGUUAAGCAGCUUACAUAGAUAAUCACAUUUAUUCCUUUCAACAUAGUAUGAAAGCAUUGUUAAUCUUUAUUUAUCCACCUUAGGAACUUGGAAGUUAGGUUAAAAACCAUCCCCAAGUCGUACAGCUGGUAGGUGGCAGAGCCAGAAGGACAGUGUAGGUCUGCUUGAAGUCAAUGCCAUUGCUUUAUAGAGCCCUCAUUAAUCACCUCUCACCUGGAUUGUUGGAACAAUUGUCUGUCUCUGCCUCUUGUCUGGUUCCCUUCUUUUCACCCUGUUGUUCCCUUCUUUAACCCUCUCGCAUUCUAGGUAGAGUCAUGAAUAAGUAAUGCAAGUCUGAUCUUGGAAAUUCUUUUAAAACUCUACUGAUUCCCAGUGCUUAUGUAAAAUUUAAACUCCUCGUUGUGGCAUAUAAAGACUUCAAGAACAAGGUCCCAGACUACUUUUUUGCAUAAUCUACGACCACAUCUCUAUUUUUCUACUCUUUGCUCUUCUAAUACUAAACUACUUUUGCUCUACUGAUGCUACUGAUAGUUACCUUGCUAUGUGCAGACUCUUCUAUACACAGUACCCUCCAGGGAAGACUGAUGCACAUUUUCAUCUAAAUUAUCACUUGGUAAGACAAUGUAGGUACAACCUGCUCCAUGGGGACUUUUACAAUAUUUCAGUCUAGAUUAGACAUUCCUAUUCUCUCAUAGUGUGUUAUGUAGCCCAUUAUUGUAUGGAAACAUGGUACUUUAAGUACACGAGCCCUGGAGUAAAAAGUCGGGUAUUUGAAUAUCAACUCCACAACUCUCUAAAUAUGCUUAGACAAAUUAUUUAACCCUUCAAAAUGUCAGUCUCAGAGUUGGUAAAAAUAAUAUAAACAUAUAACUUUCUUGGACAGAUUUUUCUUUAUCAUGGUUUGUUUUAAAAUUAGUAUAGUUAGAGUUCAGUAUUUAUGUUCUUUUUUUCACUCAGUACAUUAUAGAAUUACAUAAUUUCUGACUCCUUAACAUCUAGACUCCCAAUUAUUUUGGGAGUGCCUUAUAGGGUAGGCUCUAAGUAAAUAUCUUCUAAUUGAAUGAAUAGAUGAUAAAGAAUUGAAGAUACCAUUUAAAAUGCUGAAACUCAGAGGGAUUAGCAUGCAUUCAGGAGUCCUCAGGAUACCAAAAAAAAAAAAAAAAGGCAUCAAAUAUGCAGUUCUGUAUUUUGGAUAAUUUUACCCCAUUCUACUAUGGAAACUGUAUGAAAGAACGAAAAAAAUUUAGGAAGGCUGAGAUAAAAAAGGACUCCUCCUUAAUUGUACCAAAAUGCUCAGUGAAGUAAGAGAUCUGUUCUCACUGAUAUUGAGGAGGAAAAAUUGGAAGCGUAUGGAUUGAAGAGAUUUGGAACUUUUCUGAGAGAAAUAAGCCAAGAAGUCAAUGAGGGAGAAAUAUCGGGCAUGCGGAUGUGGUCAGCGCCAGGAUGCAGCUGGUUGGUAUAAACAUUGAGAAGGCCAGAACUGCCUGACUAUCAUUCUUUUCUCCAGUAUGAAUGCAAGCAUAUAUAGAAGGUGGCCCUUAUGGUGGAGCCCAUGGAGAAGGUCAAGGGCAACGCAAAGAUUAAAUAGGCAGAGUAUAGAAUUUCACUAUAACUUUGUGCAGUGGAUCAAUUAGGUCCAAAAAGUUAGCAUAUUUUUUCAUAAAUAUUUGCUGAAAAACCUUUAACUAUAUGAGUUACCAGAUGUUAUUUCUGGGUCAUCUAUUUCAUGGAUAAAGCCUAAAAGAAGUAAUAGUAUUUUCAAAGUAUAGUACUCCUUCAGGGGAGAAAGUAUUUUGUAUUUGCUACCAAACACCUAGAUUUCACAUACUAAAGUAUGCUCAUAACAACAUUAAUAGAAAUGAGUAAAUGUCUCUCAAAUAAUGUGAAACAGCUUUCCCUUGUUUGUUUAGAGGAAUAAAUUUAACAGUAGAGAAGAGUUCAU
Molecule: long non-coding RNA, 3152 nt
Organism: Sus scrofa (pig)
Lineage: Eukaryota; Metazoa; Chordata; Mammalia; Artiodactyla; Suidae
Source: RefSeq, a predicted model, not a curated record